Neocloeon triangulifer is the source of this 866-nucleotide long non-coding RNA. RefSeq lists it as uncharacterized. The record is from RefSeq and is a predicted model, not a curated record. The transcript has 4 exons. Lineage: Eukaryota; Metazoa; Arthropoda; Insecta; Ephemeroptera; Baetidae.
CUGCCACUCACUCACUCGCACGUUCUCUCUCAUUGCAGUAGCACUGAGCCAGUAUCCACGUCACCAAACAAAGCGUGGCCCAGAAACCCCAGACAAUAACAGAAGUCCAUCAGAGGCCACAUCACAAUCGAUCGACGACGAAUUCUCUUUCCAUUUUCCCUCAUCAGCCGAGUGAGUGCGUAAGUCUUCAUUUCGAGGCAGCGAGGGGCGAAUUUCCUGCCCCCGCAGCUAGACUGCCUGUACAGCACGCCGUAUAUUAGGGUGAGCCGCGGAGAAACUUUGGCCCAGCUUCGACUUCGCGCCGGCCGAGCCGCCUCGAUUGUUUGCUGCCCUAGAAAUACCGCCCCGAGUAUUUAUAAGUAAAAGAGACUCUUGCGGGUUUAAAAUGUCGUAAAUGCGGAGUGUGUGUGUGCCAUAAAGUGACGUCACUUUAUGGUGAAUAAUGGGUCGUCAACAUCAAACAGAUACACAUCGGCAGCAAAUCUCGAAAUGCCUCACUUGGGCUCCAUUUUCAAAAAUCGUUAUGAUGUCGUUGGCUCACUUUAUUGUUUGUUUGUCCAAGAGAGCAGUAGAGCAAUAACAGCGUGUGUAUGUGUGACUGCUGAUGUCACUUGCUUCUUCUCUUUUUACUUUGAGAAAAAGACGAGCUUUUUAGCUGUCAAGCUUCACGACUGCUUCAUGGACCAUUAAAUUCCAGAAUUUUGUAAUUCUUGAGCCAAGACUGCCGGACGGGCUCUCGCGGAAUUGAGCAAUUUGUUUUAUAUUAAUUUUUAUUUCUGUUUUACGGGCGCAUCAAGUAUAUAAAGGGUCAAAGUGUACAAAAUUUUAGCAAUAACAUAUAAUUUUUACUGCUAAAUAAACGAAAG